Molecule: long non-coding RNA, 1136 nt
Organism: Oncorhynchus tshawytscha (Chinook salmon)
Lineage: Eukaryota; Metazoa; Chordata; Actinopteri; Salmoniformes; Salmonidae
Source: Ensembl
UGGUUGGCUGGCAAGUUACACCAUUACAUUUUUCAAGAUCUAAUAGUGCACGUUUCAGCAUGGCACGGGCCGUGGCGAUACGUUGGCACAUGAGAAUGAUUACAAUAUGGCAAAUAUUAGUAAAUUAUUGCAUUCUGUUCAUGCUGGCUUUCACAGGCUACCUGAGACAUGAAACCGAUAGGUGGGAGGACAGACAGGCUACCUGAGACAUAAAACCGAUAGGUGGGAGGACAGACAGGCUACCUGAGACAUAAAACCGAUAGGUGGGAGGACAGACAGGCUACCUGAGACAUGAAACCGAUAGGUGGGAGGGCACACAUUAAUUAAUGCGCAUUUUAUUUUAGGUGUGAUGUCAUUACGCAAAGCUAUUUUUAUUGAGACAAGAUAGUUAAUUGGAAACGCACCCUAGCAGGCAAUUGUCGAAUAAAUUUUCUAUGCAAACUUUCUAAAUGUUGACAACAACAAAAAUCGCUGGACAAGUUAAUAGAAACAUAAGCUAGGUUUCCAUCAAAUUGGCGACAGAUUUUAAUGUGAAUAUUGUAAUAUCUGGGAGGCCCCUAAAAAGUAAUACACUUUGAUAAUGUGGAUUGGAAGCUAUUAAAAAUUAUAAUUAUGGGCCUCCUGAGUGGUGCAGCGGUCUGCAUUACUACAGAUCCCGGUUUGAUUCCGAGUUGUGUUGCAGGAGGCCGCGACCGGGAGACCCAUGAGGUGACACACAAUUUGCCCAGUGUCUUCCAGGGUAGGGGAGGGUAUGUCCGGCCGGGAUGUCCUUGUCCCAUCGCUCUUUAGCGACUCCUGUGGCGGGCCGGGCGCAUACACACUGACACGGUCUCCAGGUGUACGGUGUUACGUUCCGACACAUUGGUGCGUCUGGCAUCCGGGUUAAGCGUGCAUUGUGUCAAGAAGCGGUGCAGCUUGGCGGGGUUGUGUUUCGGAGGACACACGGCUCUCGACCUUCACCUCCUCCGAGUCUGUAUGGGAUUUGCAGCGAUGGGACAAGACAGUUCCCUGUGUGUUAUGAUAAAGACACUAGUCUGUACUGCAGGUCCCUGUGUGAUAUGAUAAAGACACUAGUCUGUACUGCAGGUCCCUGUGUGAUAUGAUAAAGACUAGUCUGUACUGCAGGUCUCUGUGUG